UGGGGAAUAUUGCGCAAUGGGCGAAAGCCUGACGCAGCAACGCCGUGUGAGUGAUGAAGGCCCUCGGGUCGUAAAGCUCUGUCGGAGCUCAAGAUGCCGGUCGAGGAACAAUACCCUUGAUCGGUGACGGUAAGCUCAAAGGAAGCACCGGCUAACUCUGUGCCAGCAGCCGCGGUAAGACAGAGGGUGCAAGCGUUGUUCGGAAUUAUUGGGCGUAAAGCGCGCGUAGGCGGCUUGGUAAGUCGGAUGUGAAAGCCCGGGGCUCAACCCCGGAAGUGCAUUCGAAACUGCCUAGCUUGAGUCCCGGAGAGGGUGGUGGAAUUCCUGGUGUAGAGGUGAAAUUCGUAGAUAUCAGGAGGAACACCCGUGGCGAAGGCGACCACCUGGACGGUGACUGACGCUGAGGUGCGAAAGCGUGGGUAGCAAACAGG
Molecule: ribosomal RNA, 431 nt
Filed under: uncultured Cystobacterineae bacterium
Lineage: Bacteria; Pseudomonadati; Myxococcota; Myxococcia; Myxococcales
Description: bacterial SSU rRNA
Rfam family: Bacterial small subunit ribosomal RNA
Source: RNAcentral